CUUAAAGGAAUUGACGGGGCCCGCACAAGCGGUGGAGCAUGUGGUUUAAUUCGACGCAACGCGAAGAACCUUACUACCCUUGACAUGUCCGGAACUUGCCAGAGAUGGCUUGGUGCCCGAAAGGGAAUCGGAACACAGGUGCUGCAUGGCUGUCGUCAGCUCGUGUCGUGAGAUGUUGGGUUAAGUCCCGCAACGAGCGCAACCCUUAUCAUUAGUUGCUACGCAAGGGCACUCUAAUGAGACUGCCGGUGACAAACCGGAGGAAGUGGGGAUGACGUCAAGUCCUCAUGGCCCUUAUGGGUAGGGCUUCACACGUCAUACAAUGGUCGGUACAGAGGGUUGCCAAGCCGCGAGGCGGAGCCAAUCCCACAAAGCCGAUCGUAGUCCGGAUUGUUCUCUGCAACUCGAGAGCAUGAAGUCGGAAUCGCUAGUAAUCGCAGGUCAGCAUACUGCGGUGAAUACGUUCCCGGGUCUU
This 475-nucleotide ribosomal RNA is filed under the name uncultured Thiobacillus sp. RNAcentral's name for it is "bacterial SSU rRNA". It matches the Rfam family "Bacterial small subunit ribosomal RNA", at positions 900 to 1382 of the family's 1533-position model. The record is from RNAcentral. Lineage: Bacteria; Pseudomonadati; Pseudomonadota; Betaproteobacteria; Nitrosomonadales; Thiobacillaceae.